This is a long non-coding RNA of Sinocyclocheilus rhinocerous, 113 nucleotides long. RefSeq lists it as uncharacterized. NCBI's taxonomy places the organism in Eukaryota, Metazoa, Chordata, Actinopteri, Cypriniformes, Cyprinidae. The transcript is spliced from 3 exons. The record is from RefSeq and is a predicted model, not a curated record.
CGCUGCCCAAAUGUUCACGCAAAGAAGUAACUUUAUUGCUGCCACCGCCGCAGCCAUGUUGUGAAGACGCUGUGUGUUUGGUUGCCAAACGCGAACAUACUUUGUUUGGACUU